This 97-nucleotide non-coding RNA is filed under the name pig gut metagenome. The record is from RNAcentral.
AACCAUCAGGGGUGCCACGACUGUCCCGCGACAGUCUGAUAAGGCUGAGAUCAUACCCUUCGAACCUGAUACGGAUAAUGCCGAUACAGGGAGAUAA